Molecule: ribosomal RNA, 253 nt
Filed under: uncultured bacterium
Lineage: Bacteria
Description: partial 16S ribosomal RNA
Rfam family: Bacterial small subunit ribosomal RNA
Source: RNAcentral
UACGAAGGGUGCAAACGUUGCUCGGAAUUAUUGGGCGUAAAGCGCACGUAGGCGGCUUUGCAAGUCGGAUGUGAAAUCCCUCGGCUCAACCAAGGAAGUGCAUCCGAAACUGCAGAGCUUGAGUACUUAAGAGGAUCGCGGAAUUCCCGGUGUAGAGGUGAAAUUCGUAGAUAUCGGGAGGAACACCUGUGGUGUAGACAGCUUACUGGACCAUUUCUGACGCUGAGACACGAAAGCGUGGGUAGCAAACAGG